RNAcentral lists this long non-coding RNA (993 nucleotides) under Equus caballus (horse). RNAcentral's name for it is "lncRNA (ENSECAG00000044316.1)". Lineage: Eukaryota; Metazoa; Chordata; Mammalia; Perissodactyla; Equidae. The record is from RNAcentral.
GUAUUUUUGCUAUCUGAAAGUUUUGGUUUUGUUUUUGUUUGUUUUAGCAUUUGUUCCUGUUUUGAGGGUUCACAUAUGUUUCUGAGGAUGUUAAAUAGGUAUUUUGUUUCUUUUUAAAGUUUUCUGCUCCCUACAUUGUCUCUGUUUCUUCCAGGUUCUUCGUGUUUCCGGUUUUGGUGGUGUCUUUCGUGUUAGAGGAGUGCUUAAAAGCGGAGAACCUUUGCCAGCUGUGGUCAGAGGGAGUCGUGACUGUGGAAGAAAGGCACAGAGAGACUCAACGCUGCUGGCUUUGAAGAUGGAGGAAGAGGGCCCUGAGCCAAGGAAUGCAAUGGGCCUGUAGAAGCUGGAAAAGCUCUUCAGAACCUGAAAGGCAGCAUAGCUCCUGGGACUGUGUGUGUGUUAUACAGCGGCUAAGGAGGAAGAUGAUUUGUUUCGGGCUGUGCAAAAGUUCUGGGCUCCACACCCCUGAUUUACUCUCUCUAAGGGCCAGCAAACAAACUUUAGCCAAGUGCUUUGGAGCCACCCUGCUUUGAAGAGGCUUGUUCCACCCAGGUGGCCUUAGUGCCCAAUGGCCAACCCUGCCCACUGUGUGGAAACAAUAGAUCACUGCCUUAGCUGGCACUGUGCUGGUAUGUGGGUGCGGUCAGGAAGCUCUGGGCCAAACUGUGCAGACAUGUUGUCUCAGGAUUAACAUUUUCUAAAGCCAGAGAAGAGGUGAGGGUUCAGUAGGCACAUAACUCUUCUUCUGGGAGGUGAGAGGGGUCUGUAUGUGGACAGGGAGCUUGUUCAUCAGAAGUCACAUGAGAAAGUCAAAGAAAAGGAGGGAAGAAGGAUGGCGAUGCUUCUAUUGCUCCUACAAAUCCUGCCUCCAUGGAAGAAAAAGUUGUCCACACAGUUAUGGCCCCGUCCCAAUCUGUAUCAACCCUGAACAUGUUGGACACCACCCACGAUGGUUUGGGCAGAGAUGGUGCAGGCCUGGCAGAGAUUGAGUAG